This 734-nucleotide long non-coding RNA is filed under the name Brassica rapa (field mustard). RNAcentral describes it as "long non-coding RNA (BRAP_LNC008069)". Lineage: Eukaryota; Viridiplantae; Streptophyta; Magnoliopsida; Brassicales; Brassicaceae. The record is from RNAcentral.
UUACAAUGAGGCUGCCUCUUUAUUUAUAGAGGAGAGCCUUAGGUUUUACAGCAGCAGCAACAAGACAAAGGAGAGAUUAAACUAAUACUAUCCUAGGAAAUGAAUAAACAAAGCUAUUAGGAAGCAGCCAAGGAGGAUGAGAACAAGAAGAGGCACGACCAGAUGAGGAGAAAGGGACAGGAGAGAGGUUGGCACAGCUUGCUUGAGUGAAAGUGACAGGCCAGUUGCUUCUCCAAAGCCACCCAUGUGACUUCUUCUUGUCUAAUUCAAACCAGCCUCUUUUAUUUAAAUUCAAACAUGUUUCCUUGACUUCUCAGACCUUCCCCACGUCCAUAUUAAGUCUACACAACUCCAUUCUUGCCUUGCAAGGUAAGUUAGGUCAAGAUGGUAGCUUGUGGAUCAAGUCUGAAUGGACCAACUUCCAUUUCAAGUCAAUGCAGCAUCUUUUCUUCUACUUGCCUUGAAUCCAUAAUGGCUUGCUUCUUGUUUCAUUUGUUGGCUCCUUUCCUUGUUGCACAAGUCUUGAAUACUUGUAACACACUUCAUGACUCUACAGCCUCCUUCUCUUCUUGCACACACGCCUUGAUCAUCUUUUCAUUGUCUUGGCCGUGUGAUCCUUCUCUUGAGGCUUGUUCAUGGCUUGGAUAGCUUCUUCUUCUUUAGUUUGGUGUGGAGAUGCUUGGCCUUCACUUCCUUUGUUUGGCCUUCACAUCUCCUUGUCUUGCUUCACUCUA